ACACCGAAUAACAUGCAUGAAUAAGACGCCUGUCGGUAGGUUGGGUGGUCGAAUGAAAAAGAGACAUAGGUGUAAUUACAAUUGCUGGUCUUGGCCGCCAUCCCGUUCCUGCUAAUCCUUGAAAA
Non-coding RNA from Caenorhabditis elegans, 125 nucleotides. The record is from Ensembl. NCBI's taxonomy places the organism in Eukaryota, Metazoa, Nematoda, Chromadorea, Rhabditida, Rhabditidae.